Molecule: long non-coding RNA, 1544 nt
Filed under: Homo sapiens (human)
Lineage: Eukaryota; Metazoa; Chordata; Mammalia; Primates; Hominidae
Description: non-protein coding lnc-TAOK3-8:2
Source: RNAcentral
GCUCCGGGCGGCCGGGCGAGCGGCAGGACUCACCUUCGUCCGACUCGCGGCCCCGACAGCUGCGCUCGUCGUCCUCGGCGCUCUCCAGCUCUUCAUCCUCCUCGGGGUAGUACUCGGGGGCCGGCGGCGCUCCAGCCUGGGCCGGGGCCGGGGCCAGCAGCCCCGCGGCACUCAUGUCGCCUCUGACCGCAGCUGAGCGUGGCCCACGGACACCGCGGCCACCCGCGCUCGGUACUCGCCGUCUGCCUAGCAGUGUCCGCGGCAGCCCCCAACUCGAGGACCGGCAGCCACGGCGACCCCUUCCCCGUCUCCGCCGAGCUCCGCCCCCCGCGCCCGCGCUCGGCAACGGGGGCCUCGCGCCGCGAGCGACUUCCGGGUCGAGAGCUGCCCGACAACGGCCUGAUUCCGCCAUCCUUGGGGGAGUGGAGAUGCCGCUGGACGCCCCCGUCGCCACAACCUCAGCCCUUUCAUCGCCGUCUUAAAAUCCUCAACGUAUAGUGGGGGAGGGGCGGAGCCAGGUUCGCUAGAGUCAGGCAAAUCUACGGGCAGGCCCAGCAGCGGUCAGGACCCCGAGGCUCGCAGGCGACUUCCGGAGACAGCCGCCAGGCGGCGCCUGGAGCUAGAACUAAAGCGGUGAUCGUUAGCGACCUAGGGGCGGAGGGUUUGAAGGGCCCUUGGCAGGUGGAGGUGGUCUCUAAUUUAAGCAGGGAACGACGCGACCUGCCCCCUUAUUAGGUCGGAAAACCUAGACGUCCAGAGUGUGCGUGAUCAUGCAGCCUGGCUCCUCCUGUGACUAGUUAGAGCUUUAUUAAGAGCUAAAAGACAAGGAUGCUGAUAUUCCAUCCUGGGGACAGCAAAAUAGUAUUUUCCCAGCCCUUAGGAAUCCUUUCUGUUUGUGUAAGGUUUAUUCGGUAAGAUGUUCCCCCGGUUUUACAAAUGAGAAACGAGCUGUCGUUUGCCUAAAAAAAAAUAGUAACGUCCAGUCUGAUUUUUUAGACUCCGAGACCCAGGCCCUCCGCGGUACAGCUGCCUUGAAUAUUAAUUUUUUAAAAGGUGCUUUUGCUUAAUCCAACAGCUUGCUCUGAGCUCUCAACUGAAGAAGGGGAGAAUUUGCCUACCAGAAGUUAUUUGGCUAAGGCCCACGUGGAAGCUUAAAAAACAGGAGAGCUGAGUAUCUGCAAGAAUUAAUUUGUGCGAUUCCCUCUGAGUAGAAAAGGAACACGGUGUUAUAAGUUUUGCUGAACGAAUAGAUUUAAGGUUUUUAAUGGUUUGUCCAAAGUAGCCCCACUUUUAUGUUCCACCCGAGUCUCCGUAGGAAACGCAACCAGUAGUGAAAAUGAACAGAUGUGAAAACCAGGGUGGAACCGAAUAUUCCCAUUCUCAGACCUUUUGUGAUUAAAUUUAUCUCUGAAUUGUUCCCUAUGGACUCUUCUGAAAAUGAAACGUUAUUCUCAUCCCACUUAUUUUGACAUUUAUUUACUACCUUGUUUUAAUUAAAAUCUUGGCUCUAUUUGUAAGUGAUUUUUUCUCCCAACAAAACUAAA